UACAGAGGGGGCUAGCGUUGUUCGGAAUUACUGGGCGUAAAGGGCGCGUAGGCGGCCUGUUAAGUCGAACGUGAAAUCCCCGGGCUCAACCCGGGAACUGCGUCCGAUACUGGCAGGCUUGAAUCCGGGAGAGGGAUGCGGAAUUCCAGGUGUAGCGGUGAAAUGCGUAGAUAUCUGGAGGAACACCGGUGGCGAAGGCGGCAUCCUGGACCGACACUGACGCUGAGGAGCGAAAGCCAGGGGAGCAAACGGG
This 253-nucleotide ribosomal RNA is filed under the name uncultured bacterium. RNAcentral's name for it is "partial 16S ribosomal RNA". It matches the Rfam family "Bacterial small subunit ribosomal RNA", at positions 524 to 776 of the family's 1533-position model. The record is from RNAcentral.